RNAcentral lists this transfer RNA (76 nucleotides) under Pseudomonadota bacterium. RNAcentral's name for it is "tRNA-Ala". It matches the Rfam family "tRNA". From Rfam's summary of the family: Transfer RNA (tRNA) molecules are approximately 80 nucleotides in length. Their secondary structure includes four short double-helical elements and three loops (D, anti-codon, and T loops). Further hydrogen bonds mediate the characteristic L-shaped molecular structure. tRNAs have two regions of fundamental functional importance: the anti-codon, which is responsible for specific mRNA codon recognition, and the 3' end, to which the tRNAs corresponding amino acid is attached (by aminoacyl-tRNA synthetases). tRNAs cope with the degeneracy of the genetic code in two manners: having more than one tRNA (with a specific anti-codon) for a particular amino acid; and 'wobble' base-pairing, i.e. permitting non-standard base-pairing at the 3rd anti-codon position. RNAcentral also lists the same sequence under 4 other names. Lineage: Bacteria; Pseudomonadati; Pseudomonadota. The record is from RNAcentral.
GGGGCCGUAGCUCAGUUGGGAGAGCACCUCCUUUGCAAGGAGGGGGUCAGGAGUUCGAGCCUCCUCGGCUCCACCA